CGCUGUUGAUCUUACUAAGUCUCAAAAUUGCAUUUGCCUAGGCUUGCUUUUACAAACAUAUAUAAUGAGCAUCUCUAUUCCUCGUUUUUCAAGUUGAAUCCAUGCCUGCACAUCAUAUCCCUCCAUUUAUUGACAGGGCAAGGAAAAAGAAUCACCUUGGAGAUGACAAGAUGGGUUAAUCAGCAGUCAUAUGAUUGAUAGGCCCCAAAGCAUCAGCUGUAAGAAAAUACCCCACUUGGUAAUUCAUCUCAAUCCUCCAUUACCAAUUCUAAGCAGGCUUACAUCUCCACCACGGAGAUCCAGCCUUGUAAAUGUGCU
This 318-nucleotide unclassified non-coding RNA is filed under the name Hevea brasiliensis (rubber tree). Lineage: Eukaryota; Viridiplantae; Streptophyta; Magnoliopsida; Malpighiales; Euphorbiaceae. The record is from RNAcentral.